This 379-nucleotide unclassified non-coding RNA is filed under the name uncultured Lysobacteraceae bacterium. RNAcentral's name for it is "uncultured Xanthomonadaceae bacterium contains 16S-23S intergenic spacer region". Lineage: Bacteria; Pseudomonadati; Pseudomonadota; Gammaproteobacteria; Lysobacterales; Lysobacteraceae. The record is from RNAcentral.
UCUGGCUUAUCACCGGCAGUCCCCCUAGAGUGCCCACCAUUACGUGCUGGCAACUAAGGACAAGGGUUGCGCUCGUUGCGGGACUUAACCCAACAUCUCACGACACGAGCUGACGACAGCCAUGCAGCACCUGUCUCACGGUUCCCGAAGGCACCCCUCGAUCUCUCAAGGGUUCCGUGGAUGUCAAGACCAGGUAAGGUUCUUCGCGUUGCAUCGAAUUAAACCACAUACUCCACCGCUUGUGCGGGCCCCCGUCAAUUCCUUUGAGUUUCAGUCUUGCGACCGUACUCCCCAGGCGGCGAACUUAACGCGUUAGCUUCGACACUGAGCUCUCAAUUGAGCCCAACGUCCAGUUCGCAUCGUUUAGGGCGUGGACUAC